UACGGAGGGUGCAAGCGUUGUUCGGAAUCAUUGGGCGUAAAGCGCACGUAGGCGGCUUUCUAAGUCGGGGGUGAAAUCCCGGAGCUCAACUCCGGAAUUGCCUUCGAUACUGGAAAGCUUGAGUCCGGGAGAGGUGAGUGGAACUGCGAGUGUAGAGGUGAAAUUCGUAGAUAUUCGCAAGAACACCAGUGGCGAAGGCGGCUCACUGGCCCGGUACUGACGCUGAGGUGCGAAAGCGUGGGGAGCAAACAGG
Molecule: ribosomal RNA, 253 nt
Filed under: uncultured bacterium
Lineage: Bacteria
Description: partial 16S ribosomal RNA
Rfam family: Bacterial small subunit ribosomal RNA
Source: RNAcentral